UGCUAGUCGCACGAGUUCAGACUCGUGGCAUAUAGCUCAGUAACACGUGGCCAAACUACCCUACAGACCGCGAUAACCUCGGGAAACUGAGGCCAAUAGCGGAUAUCACUCUCAGACUGGAGUGUCGAGAGUGAGAAACGUUCCGGCGCUGUAGGAUGUGGCUGCGGCCGAUUAGGUAGAUGGUGGGGUAACGGCCCACCAUGCCGAUAAUCGGUACGGGUUGUGAGAGCAAGAACCCGGAGACGGUAUCUGAGACAAGAUACCGGGCCCUACGGGGCGCAGCAGGCGCGAAACCUUUACACUGCACGACAGUGCGAUAGGGGGACUCCGAGUGCGAGGGCAUAUAGCCCUCGCUUUUCUGUACCGUAAGGUGGUACAGGAACAAGGACUGGGCAAGACCGGUGCCAGCCGCCGCGGUAAUACCGGCAGUCCAAGUGAUGGCCGAUAUUAUUGGGCCUAAAGCGUCCGUAGCCGGCCGGGCAAGUCCGUUGGGAAAUCGACGCGCUCAACGCGUCGGCGUCCAGCGGAAACUGUCCGGCUUGGGGCCGGAAGACCUGAGGGGUACGUCCGGGGUAGGAGUGAAAUCCUGUAAUCCUGGACGGACCACCAAUGGGGAAACCACCUCAAGAAGACGGACCCGACGGUGAGGGACGAAAGCUAGGGUCUCGAACCGGAUUAGAUACCCGGGUAGUCCUAGCUGUAAACGAUGCUCGCUAGGUGUGCC
This 724-nucleotide ribosomal RNA is filed under the name Haloarcula sp. Its description in RNAcentral is "bacterial SSU rRNA". It matches the Rfam family "Archaeal small subunit ribosomal RNA", at positions 52 to 777 of the family's 1478-position model. Lineage: Archaea; Methanobacteriati; Methanobacteriota; Halobacteria; Halobacteriales; Haloarculaceae. The record is from RNAcentral.